This 71-nucleotide microRNA precursor is filed under the name Paramuricea clavata. Lineage: Eukaryota; Metazoa; Cnidaria; Anthozoa; Malacalcyonacea; Plexauridae. The record is from RNAcentral.
UUUGUAUUACGUGCGGAAAUUGUUACUAUUUUCGGUUCAAAAAUGGUAACAAUUUCCGCACGUAUAAUAGA